Molecule: unclassified non-coding RNA, 376 nt
Filed under: soil metagenome
Description: partial contains 5.8S ribosomal RNA, internal transcribed spacer 2, and large subunit ribosomal RNA
Rfam family: 5.8S ribosomal RNA (bases 1-120)
Source: RNAcentral
GAUGAAGAACGCAGCGAAAUGCGAUAAGUAAUGUGAAUUGCAGAAUUCAGUGAAUCAUCGAAUCUUUGAACGCAUCUUGCGCUCCUUGGUACUCUGAGGAGCAUGCCUGUUUGAGUGUCAUUAAAUUCUCAACUACACUGACUUUGAAUUGGUGUGGCUUGGAUUUGGGGGGAAAAUUGUUGUGGGCUUUUUGUAUAGUCUGCUCCCCUGAAAUUGAUUAGCGGUACCUUUGUGGAACUGUCUACAGGUGUGAUAAUUAUCUACAUCUUAGACAUCUGCUGGAAUGCUGCUUUCUAAACCUUACUUGUAUUGACAAUCUUGACCUCAAAUCAGGUAGGACUACCCGCUGAACUUAAGCAUAUCAAUAAGCGGAGGA